This 497-nucleotide ribosomal RNA is filed under the name uncultured bacterium. RNAcentral's name for it is "partial 16S ribosomal RNA". It matches the Rfam family "Bacterial small subunit ribosomal RNA", at positions 28 to 507 of the family's 1533-position model. The record is from RNAcentral.
GAUGAACGCUGGCGGCGUGCCUAAUACAUGCAAGUCGAGCGAACAGACGAGGAGCUUGCUCCUUUGACGUUAGCGGCGGACGGGUGAGUAACACGUAGGUAACCUACCUAUAAGACUGGGAUAACUUCGGGAAACCGGAGCUAAUACCGGAUAAUAUUUCGAACCGCAUGGUUCGAUAGUGAAAGAUGGCUUUGCUAUCACUUAUAGAUGGACCUGCGCCGUAUUAGCUAGUUGGUAAGGUAACGGCUUACCAAGGCAACGAUACGUAGCCGACCUGAGAGGGUGAUCGGCCACACUGGAACUGAGACACGGUCCAGACUCCUACGGGAGGCAGCAGUAGGGAAUCUUCCGCAAUGGGCGAAAGCCUGACGGAGCAACGCCGCGUGAGUGAUGAAGGUCUUCGGAUCGUAAAACUCUGUUAUUAGGGAAGAACAAACGUGUAGGUAACUGUGCACGUCUUGACGGUACCUAAUCAGAAAGCCACGGCUAACUACGUG